CACUCCUGCGGGAGGCAGCAGUGGGGAAUAUUGGACAAUGGGCGCAAGCCUGAUCCAGCCAUGCCGCGUGAGUGAUGAAGGCCCUAGGGUUGUAAAGCUCUUUCACCGGUGAAGAUAAUGACGGUAACCGGAGAAGAAGCCCCGGCUAACUUCGUGCCAGCAGCCGCGGUAAUACGAAGGGGGCUAGCGUUGUUCGGAUUUACUGGGCGUAAAGCGCACGUAGGCGGACUAUUAAGUCAGGGGUGAAAUCCCGGGGCUCAACCCCGGAACUGCCUUUGAUACUGGUAGUCUUGAGUUCGAGAGAGGUGAGUGGAAUUCCGAGUGUAGAGGUGAAAUUCGUAGAUAUUCGGAGGAACACCAGUGGCGAAGGCGGCUCACUGGCUCGAUACUGACGCUGAGGUGCGAAAGCGUGGGGAGAAAACAGGAUUAGAAACCCGAGUAGUCCCAUGA
This 450-nucleotide ribosomal RNA is filed under the name uncultured organism. RNAcentral's name for it is "partial 16S ribosomal RNA". It matches the Rfam family "Bacterial small subunit ribosomal RNA", at positions 334 to 800 of the family's 1533-position model. The record is from RNAcentral.